Molecule: ribosomal RNA, 289 nt
Filed under: uncultured Nocardioides sp.
Lineage: Bacteria; Bacillati; Actinomycetota; Actinomycetes; Propionibacteriales; Nocardioidaceae
Description: partial 16S ribosomal RNA
Source: RNAcentral
CUACAGGGGUAUCUAAUCCUGUUCGCUCCCCACACUUUCGCUCCUCAGCGUCAGGAUAUUCCCAGAGAACCGCCUUCGCCACCGGUGUUCCUCCUGAUAUCUGCGCAUUUCACCGCUACACCAGGAAUUCCGUUCUCCCCUGAAUACCUCUAGUCUGCCCGUAUCGAAAGCAAGCACCGAGUUAAGCCCGGUGUUUUCACUCCCGACGCGACAAACCGCCUACGAGCCCUUUACGCCCAAUAAUUCCGGACAACGCUCGGACCCUACGUAUUACCGCGGCUGCUGGCAC